GGGACUGUGGCGGAAUGGCAGACGCUGUGGACUUAAAAUCCACUGCUGGGUAACUGGCGUGCGGGUUCGAGUCCCGCCUGUCCCA
Molecule: transfer RNA, 85 nt
Filed under: Telmatocola sphagniphila
Lineage: Bacteria; Pseudomonadati; Planctomycetota; Planctomycetia; Gemmatales; Gemmataceae
Rfam family: tRNA
About the family: Transfer RNA (tRNA) molecules are approximately 80 nucleotides in length.
Source: Rfam by way of RNAcentral